Molecule: unclassified non-coding RNA, 338 nt
Filed under: Hevea brasiliensis (rubber tree)
Lineage: Eukaryota; Viridiplantae; Streptophyta; Magnoliopsida; Malpighiales; Euphorbiaceae
Source: RNAcentral
CAACUACUAUUUUGACAUCACCAUCAUUAGUCUCAGGAACUGGGUCCGACUUGAAGAAAGGUUUAAGCCUGUCUUCCAGAAAUUCCUCUCCAAAAGUCUUUAUCUUUUCCAAGGUAAGUUCCCCGUCAAGUACAAAUUUCUGACCAUCAUUAUUUCCUGUGUAAGCAAGAACUGUGGGAGCAUUUCCAGUGAUACCAAAAUAAUCUGCAACAGGCUUUCCAACAUCUUCAUUGUCCAAUUCAACAUAUACAAAGACAAGCUUUCCCUUGAAAAAUUUAGCUGCUUCUUGAAAUAUUGGCAAAACUUUCCCUGAAUCAUUUGAAGUUGCAAAUAACAAC